RNAcentral lists this ribosomal RNA (692 nucleotides) under uncultured bacterium. RNAcentral describes it as "bacterial SSU rRNA". It matches the Rfam family "Bacterial small subunit ribosomal RNA", at positions 94 to 801 of the family's 1533-position model. The record is from RNAcentral.
AGUGGCGGACGGGUGAGUAAUGCGUGAGCAACCUGCCCUUCAGAGGGGGACAACAGUUGGAAACGACUGCUAAUACCGCAUAAUGUAUCGAGAAGGCAUCUUUUUGAUACCAAAGAUUUAUCGCUGAAGGAUGGGCUCGCGUCUGAUUAGCUAGUUGGUGAGGUAAUGGCUCACCAAGGCUUCGAUCAGUAGCCGGACUGAGAGGUUGGCCGGCCACAUUGGGACUGAGAUACGGCCCAGACUCCUACGGGAGGCAGCAGUGGGGAAUAUUGGGCAAUGGGCGCAAGCCUGACCCAGCAACGCCGCGUGAAGGAAGAAGGCUUUCGGGUUGUAAACUUCUUUUGGCAGGGACGAAACAAAUGACGGUACCUGCAGAAUAAGCUCCGGCUAACUACGUGCCAGCAGCCGCGGUAAUACGUAGGGAGCAAGCGUUAUCCGGAUUUACUGGGUGUAAAGGGCGCGUAGGCGGGAAUGCAAGUCAGAUGUGAAAUCUGAGGGCUCAACCCUCAAACUGCAUUUGAAACUGUAUUUCUUGAGUGAUGGAGAGGCAAGUGGAAUUCCUAGUGUAGCGGUGAAAUGCGUAGAUAUUAGGAGGAACACCAGUGGCGAAGGCGACUUGCUGGACAUUAACUGACGCUGAGGCGCGAAAGCGUGAGGAGCAAACAGGAUUAGAUACCCUGGUAGUCCACGCU